UGGCUCAGAUUGAACGCUGGCGGCAGGCCUAACACAUGCAAGUCGAGCGGUAGCACAAGAGAGCUUGCUCUCUGGGUGACGAGCGGCGGACGGGUGAGUAAUGUCUGGGAAACUGCCUGAUGGCGGGGGAUAACUAGUGGAAACGGUAGCUAAUACCGCAUAACGUCGCAAGACCAAAGUGGGGGACCUUCGGGCCUCACGCCAUCAGAUGUGCCCAGGUGGGAUUAGCUGGUAGGUGGGGUAACGGCUCACCUAGGCGACGAUCCCUAGCUGGUCUGAGAGGAUGACCAGCCACACUGGAACUGAGACACGGUCCAGACUCCUACGGGAGGCAGCAGUGGGGAAUAUUGCACAAUGGGCGCAAGCCUGAUGCAGCCAUGCCGCGUGUGUGAAGAAGGCCUUCGGGUUGUAAAGCACUUUCAGCGAGGAGGAAGGGUAAUGUGU
This 444-nucleotide ribosomal RNA is filed under the name Serratia symbiotica. Its description in RNAcentral is "bacterial SSU rRNA". It matches the Rfam family "Bacterial small subunit ribosomal RNA", at positions 20 to 460 of the family's 1533-position model. Lineage: Bacteria; Pseudomonadati; Pseudomonadota; Gammaproteobacteria; Enterobacterales; Yersiniaceae. The record is from RNAcentral.